CGCAUGUACAGGUUCAUUCACUUCCGGAUGUAUGGUGGAUUCGAGAUUCGGUGGCAAUGCAUGCUACUGUCCUCAGAAAAGGAGAAAACAUAAAAAUAGAACAAUGCAUCUCAUGCUGUGAUAAAUAUCACUGCCCAUUUUGUGAAACCUGGGUCUACAAACCAGUGGACUUGUACAGUGUCAAGAAACAUGUGGAGGAUCAUCUGAAAACAGCUGUUCAUGAAGAAGAUGCCACUGGAGAUCCUCGGGCAGAUCCUGUUGAGAGUGGUCUCAGACGACGGAGACAUGGCCUUUAUGAGACUUUCUCUCACGUGCAAGCUUUUUAGGGACAUUGCCAGUGAGACAAAAUUCAAAGAAGAGCCACUUCAUGUGGCUAGACAGUGUCGUGAACUGGAGUGCAUUUUCUGCACGAUACAGAGAGAAGUUCCGGGUGCCAUAUUCACUGACCCAGUGCCUACGGUGCUGCGAAACAUUUAAAGACUGCCCACCUGGCUAUGGUGGGAAUGGCAGGAGGGGAGUCCUGCGUGGGUUUUAUUCCUUCAAAGACUUUGAGGGCUACUGCUCAGUUGAUUGUUUUAUUAAUGAUGGAGGUGAAUUUCAGAACGUGUAGAUGCAAUUUUUUUUUCUUUCUUAUGUGUCAUGUUUAUAGUUUUAAUC
This is a long non-coding RNA of Sinocyclocheilus anshuiensis, 657 nucleotides long. RefSeq lists it as uncharacterized. The transcript has 4 exons. Lineage: Eukaryota; Metazoa; Chordata; Actinopteri; Cypriniformes; Cyprinidae. The record is from RefSeq and is a predicted model, not a curated record.